UACAGAGGUGGCAAGCGUUGUUCGGAAUUACUGGGCGUAAAGGGCGCGUAGGCGGCCUUCUAAGUCAGACGUGAAAUCCCCCGGCUUAACCUGGGAACUGCGUCUGAUACUGGGAGGCUAGAGUAUGGGAGAGGGAUGUAGAAUUCCAGGUGUGGCGGUGAAAUGCGUAGAUAUCUGGAGGAACACCUGCGGUGUAGACAGCUUUCUGGACCACUUCUGACGCUGAGACACGAAAGCGUGGGUAGCAAACAGG
Molecule: ribosomal RNA, 253 nt
Filed under: uncultured bacterium
Lineage: Bacteria
Description: partial 16S ribosomal RNA
Rfam family: Bacterial small subunit ribosomal RNA
Source: RNAcentral